RNAcentral lists this ribosomal RNA (922 nucleotides) under Klebsiella sp. Ume38. RNAcentral's name for it is "bacterial SSU rRNA". It matches the Rfam family "Bacterial small subunit ribosomal RNA", at positions 60 to 973 of the family's 1533-position model. The record is from RNAcentral. Lineage: Bacteria; Pseudomonadati; Pseudomonadota; Gammaproteobacteria; Enterobacterales; Enterobacteriaceae.
AGUCGAGCGGUAGCACAGAGAGCUUGCUCUCGGGUGACGAGCGGCGGACGGGUGAGUAAUGUCUGGGAAACUGCCUGAUGGAGGGGGAUAACUACUGGAAACGGUAGCUAAUACCGCAUAACGUCGCAAGACCAAAGUGGGGGACCUUCGGGCCUCAUGCCAUCAGAUGUGCCCAGAUGGGAUUAGCUGGUAGGUGGGGUAACGGCUCACCUAGGCGACGAUCCCUAGCUGGUCUGAGAGGAUGACCAGCCACACUGGAACUGAGACACGGUCCAGACUCCUACGGGAGGCAGCAGUGGGGAAUAUUGCACAAUGGGCGCAAGCCUGAUGCAGCCAUGCCGCGUGUGUGAAGAAGGCCUUCGGGUUGUAAAGCACUUUCAGCGGGGAGGAAGGCGAUGAGGUUAAUAACCUUAUCGAUUGACGUUACCCGCAGAAGAAGCACCGGCUAACUCCGUGCCAGCAGCCGCGGUAAUACGGAGGGUGCAAGCGUUAAUCGGAAUUACUGGGCGUAAAGCGCACGCAGGCGGUCUGUCAAGUCGGAUGUGAAAUCCCCGGGCUCAACCUGGGAACUGCAUUCGAAACUGGCAGGCUAGAGUCUUGUAGAGGGGGGUAGAAUUCCAGGUGUAGCGGUGAAAUGCGUAGAGAUCUGGAGGAAUACCGGUGGCGAAGGCGGCCCCCUGGACAAAGACUGACGCUCAGGUGCGAAAGCGUGGGGAGCAAACAGGAUUAGAUACCCUGGUAGUCCACGCUGUAAACGAUGUCGAUUUGGAGGUUGUGCCCUUGAGGCGUGGCUUCCGGAGCUAACGCGUUAAAUCGACCGCCUGGGGAGUACGGCCGCAAGGUUAAAACUCAAAUGAAUUGACGGGGGCCCGCACAAGCGGUGGAGCAUGUGGUUUAAUUCGAUGCAACGCGAAGAACCUUA